This 12270-nucleotide long non-coding RNA is filed under the name Homo sapiens (human). Its description in RNAcentral is "HSALNT0315804". The record is from RNAcentral. Lineage: Eukaryota; Metazoa; Chordata; Mammalia; Primates; Hominidae.
CGGAUCUUCUUCUUUUUGUGGCUGUGGACACCUUUCAACACUGCCUUCUUGGCCUUUAAAGCCUUCGCUUUGGCUUCAGCUUUAGGAGGGGCAGGAGCUUCCUUCUUCGCUUUCGGCGCCAUGUUGUGAAAAGGGUCCAUAUGCUGUGUUUUAAGGUGUGUGAUUUCCAAUUUACUCAUGUAAGUUCUCGGAUGAGCUGCCUAGAGACCUAUAACCCCGUUCCUAUCUACAGCACUGCCCAAAUAGUUAUUGGUCUUACAGCAUGACAAAGCAUUUUAAACAAACCUCCUCUGUUCAUCCAGACUCUUUGUAUGAAAGAGCUCUGAAACCGAUCCAGGCACAGAUGGCCAGGUUUUACCAGUGUUCCCAGCCUGUGUAACAUCCCCCCCGCCACCAUUUUCCACAGUGAGAUAGAUGGAGUGGAAAACAGUAUUAAUCUUCAAAAGCAGAAUUAUUGCAUUAUUGGUCCCCAAGAACCAAUCCUUUUAAAACAAUUUGCCAUCACAGACUGGGUGCCAUUUUACAGAAACAUGACCUAGAACAGAAGAAAUCUAUAUUCUAAUGAUUCAGCUGAUUGAGUCCACAAAAGGCAUUGCCUUGGUCAAUCAAUUUGCUUGUGUUUUAGAGAUACCAGCAAACCCUACUGUGCCUAAAAACAAACACAAAGACACCAGGAGAAAACUAGCAUUAAGAUCCUUUUCUUUUUUAGCUAGUUGUCAUUCACUGCCUAAAUCAUUUCCCAGUUUUUUUUUUUUAUCUAAAGCAGUUUACUUUUAUUAAAUUUUUCAAUACAAAUAACAACUGGGUUAAAAAUUAUUAAAUCAACUCUAUGGGCUGUUUUUAAAUGCCCUGUUUCUGAUGAUGAAAGCUAGGCUCAGCAGCCUUGAACCUUGAUUUAGUCAGUUCAGGCUGCCAUAAGAAAAUAUUACAGACUGGGCGUCUUAAAAUCAAACAUUUAUUUCGCCCAGUUCUGCAGGUUAGGAAGUCCAAGACCACGGUGCUGGCAGACUCAGUGUCUGUGAAGGCCCACUUUCUAGUUGGCAGAUGGCUGCUUUUUUGCUGUGUCCUCACAUUGCUGGUGGUGGGGUUGGAGGUGGUGGGGGUAGUUUGGGGAGAGAGCACUCUAGUUUUUCCUCUUCUUAUAAGCACACUAAUUCCUUCAUGGGAGCUACACUCUCAUGACCUCAUCUAAACCUAGUUACCUCCCAAUGGUCCCACUUUUUUUUUUUUGUGAGGCAGAGUCUUGCUCUGUUGCCCAGGCUGGAGUGCAGUGGUGUGAUCUCGGCUCACUGCAACCUCUGCCUCCCAGGUUCAAGCAUUUCUCCUACCUCAGCCUACCGAGUAGCUGGGAUUACAGGCGCCCACCACCAUGACCAGCUAAUUUUUGUAUUUUUAGUAGGGACGGGGUUUCGCCAUGUUGGCCAUGGUGGUCUUGAACUCCUGACCUCAGGCGAUCCAUCCACCUCAGCCUCCCAAAGUGCUGGGAUUACAGACGUGAUCCACCACGCCUGGCCGGCCCCACUUCUAAAUACCAUUACACUGUGGGCCCAAGUUUCAACACAUGAAUUUUGGGGGAACACAAGCAUUCAGUCCAUAUGAACACAGAUUUUUGGUAAACUAACUCAAAAAACCCUUCUAGGCCAAAAUAGUUAUAUCUAACAUCUUUUUAACGAGAGGUUUCAGCCUCUGCAGGUUAGAAAGCAAGACAGAGUUAUCAAAGAAGUAUCCGUCAUUCCGUUUUUGUUUUGUGUUGCUUAGGGUUAUCACAUUAUUGUGUUUAUUUCCAAAUUUAUUCUACAAAUGUAUUGAGUGGCGUAUAUUUAGGAAAUACUUUUUCUAGAAUUGUAAGUGGUUUCUCCAAAAAGACAGAAUGCUAAGUCACGUGGUAUUUCCCACCACGGGCAUGUGCUACCUUCUCUUUUGAAUAUAAAUAAAUCAUGUACGCAGAAGAGAUGUUGACAGGGUUUUAUUAAGCAUGCCUUUUCUUUUUUCAAUCUGUGGCCUUUUGGAACAUUGUAAUGAGGUUGUUUCACCACAGUUCCAACUUGUCGUUGUCAGUCCAAAGCCUACAUUUUUUAAUAGGGUAAAUGAGUGUCCAGGGAUGCUGAAGAUGAGGCAGCACUAGGGGUUAUGUAGAUAUGGACUGAGCAAAGUCUUGGGGCAUCUUAUGCACCUUAUGCAGUCUUGCCAGAAGAUUAGUGGGCUUGCUAUUUUAUAGGUCAACUACUAAAGGAACUCUCAUUAGUGAGACUGUUACAAGGAUAUUUUGAAUUAGAAGCUUGAUACUCCAUUACUUGUGGGUUGAAACUGAUGCUCUGCUGAGAUCUUGGGAGGUGAGGUACAUCACCAUGUCCUGGGUUGAGGUAGAAGAUACUCAAGACCCUGCAACCCUGACUUGGAACAUUGUAAGAGGAGAUGGGAAAAGAAUUUCUAGGGUGAGAAUUCUUCCUGUGGGAAGGAAUAUAUCUGGAAUAAAGAGGCUUGAAGAUGUUAUCUACGCCGGGUAGUGGGUAACAUUUUCCCUUGCAUGUUGCGAUUCCUUUCUGAAAAGUGCCUGAACAUGCCUGCACUGCCUGUUGAGCUAGUCUUGGGUCACCACAGAGUGGCAAAGGGAAAGGGAGCCUUUUCUAUUCCAACUCCUCCCAGCCUCCAGGGCAGAGACAACUUCAGUCUCUCAGGGGGUUGUGCCGGCGGAUGGGGAUAGUAACAAAAGACAGAAAGAGUUCUCCCCAAAGCCAAAGCAGGCAGUGUCAGACCCUCCCAUGGUGCUGGAGGAGUAGCCUCAACGGACUCUGCCAGAUGACACUAACACAGACUUUCUGGCAGUCCUGGUAAAAUAUAGAGGGGGAGAAGGUGGUACAAACUCCUGAGUUGCUUCAGUAAGGGAGGAAGAGGAAAGAGGCCAUGCAGAAGAGAAGCUAUGAGCAUGCACAACCAUAGUUUUCCUAGAAAUUUUAGAUAUAUCGAAAUUUCGUCUGCUACUCAUGAUCAAUAUCUGUUAAUAUUUUCUAAAUGGAAACAAAUGAUUCUUUAAAGGAAAUGGUGUCAAGUGCAUUUUGACUUGAAUGUAACAUCAGUCUCUUCUCACACACCAGGCUGCAGUCAUGUAGGCUUUCUGUCAAUUCCUAGAACUUUCCUGACCUGAAGUCUUGCUCAGGCCAUUUGCUCUGCUGGGAACACUCCUACUUCAGCUUUUUGCAGAACUGGUUCCUUUUUACCCAUUAUGAGGAUUCUAAUGUUGUAACUUCAGAGAGUGAAUCUUGACCUGUUUAUCUGCUUAAACCUUUGCCUCUGUUGAAGUCCCUGUUUAUCUCCUUUCCAGAAUAUCUCAAAACCUGUAAUUAUUUCAUUUAUGUAUUCCUUUUCUUGCUUCCUGUUGGCUUAUCCCACUGAAAUAUAAUUUUCAUGAGGGCAAGGAUUUUGUCUAUCUUAGUUACCUUUUGUCUUAGUACCUGGCGCAGUGUUUGGCAAUUGGAAAGUGCUAAAUUUUUUUUUUUGGUAACUGAUGAUCAAAUAUAAAUGUGAUAUAUUUAUAUAUUUGCCUUAUAAAUGUUAGCAGCAAAUUCUCAAAAAGGUUCUGAAACCUUUGUCUCAGUGGUUUCAAGAAACCAAACCCUUAAUACAAAAUUGUUAGAGAGAUUCUAAAGUCAUUCUGACAGGUUGUAGUUCCUUUCUGAAUGAGUUAAUAAACAAAAGAAAUCUCAUUUAUGUUCAAACGUUUUAAAAAUUGCUCUUCCUUCUUAAUUAUUUGCUAAUAAUUUUUUUAAAGUUGGUGCACUGUGUGGUAAUUGCACUGAAAGAGAAGGUAGUCUGUUUUCAUGUCUGCUACCCCAGUGAUUAUUAUUAGUAUUGAUCUCUUGGUUUGGCUGCAUGGGAGGGGAACCACACAUUUAGCACCACAGCAAGUUUCGCAGGUGGAAAAAAGCCUUUCUUUGGCUACAGGUACUGGUUUCCUGAUACUUUCCCUACUUCUGGUUCAAAAAUUUAGUGGACGACUUUGUUGGGAAACAAUUCUUCAUGGGUUUCUUGUGUUUCUGCAUGUUUUGUAUCAGUUUUUGUUCUCAAUUAUUUUUCCAAGGAUGUUUGUAUGGUAAAUAGUUUUGGAAGAUGCGAUAGUGUCUAUCUCUGACAAGGACAGAUUUGUUUGCUGUCUGGAAUAAAAGGAUAUUGUCUUGUUCUGGAACAAAGGUUGGGCAAGUUUGCUAGCAGCCUUUUUGUAAGAUUGAGGGCUUCCUAAGAUCAGGGGUCAUCAGUUGGGAUACAAAAGCAUAGUGUGAGUAACAUCUGUGCUGGCCACUGGACAUAUCCCUGUAGAACUUGUGUGCAUUCAGAGAUGGGAAAGGGAACUGAGGUGAACACGAGGCUCAUGCUAUCUGCUGUGCCUUGAGUAAUAAAGUCCUUCUUCUCUGACUCCUGAGUUUUUUUUUUUUUUUGCCAGCAUCCAUAAAACUAUGUCUUAGAUGCUUUUCAGCUCUUGAGACUUAAUUUCAAGGAAAACCUAUGCUGUGAUUAUUGUUAUUUUUUCUAUGUGUAGCUUUGUUUUAUUUAUUUAUUUAUUUAUUUGCCUGUAUCCUUGUUUGGCAGGAGGGCAUUUAUCCCAAAGAUUCCCUUUCCCUCACUUCUAGUGAGUUCUGACAAGCACCCAGCUAGUAUGAUCGAUUUUUGGUAAAAUAGAGAAAAAGGAGAGUGUCAGAAUAAUAAUCUGGCCACUGUAUAUAAAAAGAAGCAUUUAAUAUUAAUUCAAGAAAGGUUUCCUGUGUUGACAAUGUUUCCUUCUGCAGCUCUUUAGGGAAGAGAUAUUUUUAUUUAUCCACUAUCCAUUUCUUCACAUGUGCCCACAAAGAGCCCCAAACAUCCUACUCCCAAACUGAGAGAAAGACAUAAUUAUAGCAGAGUGAAGUGAUCAUAUGAAACUUCCCACAGAUAACACUGAUAAAAUCUGAACAAAAUAUUAAAAAAAAACACCAACUAUGUAGAGGAAUGGGAAAGUAUCCAAAAACAAACAGAAAUAAGGUAAGUUUACUCCUGAGAAACUGCAACUGAAAGUGGUAAGAAUUGCAAGUUUGUGGCCUGUUACCUGAUAGUGCUCCCUAAUCCCUGCAGGUAGGAGAAAAUGUAGCUUUACCAGGCUAAACAGUGUUCAUGGCUUAAAAACCUGUUGGAAAUUUAAGAGGGAGACUCUGGCAGAGAAUGAACUGUAGAAAGGAUGAGACUCAGAAAUCUGAGCAUACACGCUGCCCACACCUCUUCUCAUCAUUAAAGUCUGUACGCACAGAGACCUCAGGGACCCAGUGAAAAAGCAGACAGAGACCCCAGAGGAACAGACCCUUCAAAGACAGAGCUGCAUUGUGAACAUGAGUUUAUUUCUAUGAGAUGCGUCCUGGCUUGAAAUGUCAGAGGAUAGAGCCUGAGGCUGGAAGAGUAGUAGGAAAUUAAAAGUUUAAAACCCUACUAGGGAAAAAAUACACACUACAAAUUAAGAAAUGGAUGAAAUGCAGCUUUCUCUUUUAUAGAGCAUGGUAUUAGUCUUGAGGAAUUAUUGGCCUUCUGGGAGUAGUACUUCCAGCUUAUAUUCCUCUCUGAACCCCUGGAUUCCUUUCAGGUGGGGCUAUAUCCUUUCAAAAUUAGCAAAGAACAACUGAGGAGCAGGUAGACAGCAUAGGGUAAUCUCAUUUUCACCAAUUGUGGGUAAUAUUUUUCCUUAAAAUGUGACAUUUUGUCUUUAAAGACAUUUCUCUUCUGACUUCUUCCCUAAUGUCUCUUCUUCCACUUCCAUAUUAAUAUGUGUGACUCUCAAGACUCAGUUCAUUUGUCUUCAUUACACUUGUUCCUUCGAAGAACUCACUCAUUCUCAUUGCUGUGACUAUCAAUUUCCUGUGGAUGUUUCUCAUAUCCAUAAUUUAAUUGUUUUUUCUAUAAGAAGAAAAUUGGAUCCCUACCUUAUAGUAUAUAGAAAAAUGAACUCCAAAUGGAUCAUAAACCAAAAUGGAAGUGCUAAAACUAUAAGUCUCUUAAAAGAAAACCUAUAUGUAAAUCUUUGUGACCUUGGAUUAAGCCAUGGAUUUUUUAGAUACCUAAAUACAAGCAACUGAAAAACAAAUUAGACUUCAGCAAAAUGAAAAGCAUUGUCUUUAAAAGAUACUAUUAAGAAAGUGAGGAUCAAUACCAAGAAGAGCUCUCAAAACCACACAAUUACCUGGAAAUUAAACAACUUGCUCCUGAAUGACUUUUGGGUAAAUAAUGAAAUUAGUCAGACAUUAAAAAUUUCUUUGAAAUAAAUGAAAACAGAGGCACAACAUACCAGAAUCUCUGGGAUGCAGCUAAAGCAGUGUUAAGAGGAAAGUUUAUAGCACCAAAUGCUUACAUCAAGAAGUUGGAAAGAUAUCUAAUUAGCAAUCUAAUAUUGCAUUUAGAGGAACUAGAAAAACAAGAACAAACAAAACCCAAAGCUAAAGGAAGAAAAGAAAUAACUGAAAUUAGAGCAGAACUGAAUGAAAUUGAGACCCCAAAUCCAUACAAAGGAUCAAUGAAACAAAAAGCUGGUUCUUUGAAAGGAUAAACAAGAUCUAUAGACUGCUAACUAGAUGAACAAGGAGAAAAGAGAGAAGAACCAAAUAAAUGCAAACAGAAGUGGCAAAUGUGACUUACAACUAAUCCCACAGAAAUACAAAAGAUCCUCAGAGACUAUAUGAACACCUAUAUGCACAAACACUAGAAAAUCUAGUGGAAAGAAUGGAUACAUUCCUGGAAACACACAACCUUCCAAGACUGAGUCAGGAAGAAAUAAAAACCCUGAACAGACUAAUAUUGAGUUCUAAAAUUGAAUCAGUAACAAAAAACCUACUAACCAAAAAGAGCCCUGGACCAGAUUGAUUCACAGCCAAAUUAUACCAAAUGUAAAAAGAAGAGCAUGUACCAAUGCUACUGAAUCUAUUACAAAAAAUUGAGAAGGGACCCCUCCCUAACUAAUUCUAUGAUGCCAGCAUAAUUCUGAUAUCAAAAUCUGGCAAACACACACACACACACACACACACACACACACACACACACACACACAGAAGAAAAAAGCAAGAAAACUGCUGGCCAAUAUCCUUGAUGAAUAUAGAUGCAAACAUUCUCAACAAAAUACUAGCAAACUGAAUCCAGAAGCACAUCAAAAAGUUAAUUCACCAUGAUCAAGUAGACUUUAUUCCUGGGAUGCAGGGAUGGUUCAACAUACAUAAAUCAAUAAAUGUGAUACCACAUAAACAUAAUUAAAAACAAUAGAUGCAGAAAAAGCUUUUGAUAAAAUCCAACAUCCCUUCAUGAUGAAAACCCUCAAGAAACUAGGCAUCAAAGGAACAUACCUUAAAAUAAUAAGAGUCAUCUAUGACAAACUCACAGCUAACAUUAUACUGAAUGGGCAAUAGCUAGAAGCAUUCCCCUUAUGAACUGGAACAAGACAAAGAUGCCCACUCUCACCACCCCUAUUCAAUAUAGUGCUAGAAAUCUUAGCCAGAGCAAUCAGACAAGAGGAAAAAAAGAAAAAGCAUCCAAAUAGGAAAAGAAGUUAAAUUAUCUCUCUUUGUUGAUGAUAUGAUUCUAUAUCUAGAAAACCCUAAAGACUUCACCAAAAGAUUCCUAGAGCUGAUAAACAACUUCAGCAAAGUUUUAAGAUACAAAAUCAUUGAACAAAAAUCAGUAUCAUUCCUUACACCAAUAAUAGUCAAGCCAACAGCCAAAUAAAUAAUGCAAUCUCAUUUACAAAAGCCACACACACAAAAUAAAAUACCUAAGAAUAUAUCUAACCUAAGAAGUGAAAGAUAUGUACAAGCAGAACUGUAAAACACAGCUGAAAGAAAUCAUAGAUGAUACAAACAAAUGGAAGAACAUCCCAUGCUCAUGGAUCAAAAGAGUCAAUGUUGUUAAAAUGGCUAUACUGCCCCAAACAAUCUACAGAUUCAAUGCUAUCCUAUCAAACUACCAAAGUCAUUUUUUACAAAUUUAGAAAAAACUAAAGUUCAAAUUCAUAUGGAAUGAAAGAAGAACCUGAGUAGCCAAAGUAAUCCUAAGCAGAAGCAUCACCUUACUUGACUUCAAACUAUACUAUAAGACUACAGUAACCAAAAUAGCAUGGAACUGGUGCAAAAACAGACACAUAGACCAAUGGAACAGGAUUUAUCCAGAAAUAAAGUCACACACCUACAGCCAUCUAAUAUUUGACAAAAUCAACAAAAAUAAGCAAAAUCAACAAUGUUUUGUUGACAAAAUCAACAAAAACAACACACAUGCAUGUGCAGGUGUGUGUGGGCGCUCGCCCCCUUUUUCCCUGCGGCUGCUACCCCUUAAAGGUAGUAUAAAAAAAGAAAAAAAGUAAGCAAUGGGAAAAGGACUCCCUAUUCAAUAAAUGGUGCUGAAAUAGCUGAUUAGCCAUACACAAAAUGAAACUAGACUCUGGUUUUGCAACAUAUACAAAAAGUAACUCAAGAUAGACCAAAGAUUUAAAUGUAAGGCCUUAAACUACAAAAGUCCUAGAAGAAAACCUACUAAACACCAUUGUGGACAUCAGCCUUGGGAAAAAAUUUAUGACUAAGUCCUUGUAACAAAAACAAAAAUUGACAAGUGGGACCAAUUAAACCAAGGAGCUUCUACACAGCAAAAGAAACUAUCAACAGAGUAAACAGAAAACCCACAAAAUGGAAGAAAAUGUCCACAAACUAUGCAUCCAACAGAAGUCUAAUCUUUAUAGAUUCUAUAGUCUAUAGAAUCUAUAAAGAACUGAAACAGUCCAUCAAGCUAAAACAAAUAAACCACUUAAAAAUAGGCAAAGGACAUGAACAGACACCUCUCAAAAGAAGACGUACAAGUGGCCAACAAGUACAUAAAAAAAUUCUCAACACCACUAAUCAUUAGAUAAAUGCAAAUCAAAACUGUAAUGAGAUACCACCUCACACCAGUCAGAAUGGCUAUUAUUAAAAACGACAGCAACAAAAAAAAAAACAGGUGCUGGCAAGGAUGGGGAGAAAAGAGAAUGCUUAUACAUUGUUGGUGGAAAUGUAAAAUAGUUCAGCCACUGUGGAAAGCAGUUUGGAGAUUUCUCAAAGAACUGAAAACAGAACUACCGUUUGACCCAACAAUCCCAUUAUUGGGUGUAUAAAUUGUUCUACCAAAAGGACACAUGCACUUGUAUGUUCAUUGAAGCACUAUUCACAAUAGCAAAUAUCAACCUAGAUGCUCAUCAGUGGUGGACUGGAUAAAGAAAAUGUGGUACAUAUGCAUGAUGGAAUACUAUGCAACCAUUACAUAGAACAAAAUCAUGUGUUUUGCAGUAACAUGGAUGCAGCUGCAGACCAUUAUCCUAAAUGAAUUUAUCCUAUAACAGAGAACCAAACACCGCAUGUUCUCACUUAUAAGUGGGAGAUAAACAUUGAGUACACAUGAGUACACAUGGACUUAAAGAUGGAAACAGGGCACUACUCAAGGGGGUAGGAUGUAGGGGAAGCCAGGAUUGAAAAACUACCCUUCAGAGACUAUGCUCACUAUGUGGGUGAUGUGAUCAUUUGUACACCAAAUCUCAGCAACACACAAUUUAUCCACAUAAACCUCCACAUGUACCCGCUGAAUCUAAAAUAAAAGUUGAAAGAAAAAACAACCCACAAGAAAGAUGAGGCUGGGUGCUGUGACUGAUACCUAUAAUCCCAGCACUUUGGGAGGCCUAGGUGGCAGGAUUGCUUGAGGCCCAGGGGUUUGAGACACCACCCUGGACAAAAUAGCAAGACGCAUCUCUAAAAAAUAAAAAAAAAUUAAUAAAAUUUAAAAAUAAGAUACAACCCACAAUGGGAAAAAUAUUUGCAUAUUAUAUAUUUGCUAAGGGCCUAGUAUCUAGAAUAUAUAAUUUUAUUUUAACCUCUCUGAAGUUUCAAUGAAUAUUUAUAAUUGCCAAGUGAAUACUGUUUUACUCUGAUCUCUAAUGCAAUGAAUCUUAAUUGUUUCUUUUAAUGGUACCAUUGUUGAUCAAUUGAUUAAGGCUGAAAGUCAUUGUCUAACUUUGAUUUCUUUCUCUCUCCAUAGCCAAUAAUUUACUAAAUCUUCUUGCCUAUUUAUUAUAUAUAUUAUAUAUUUUAAAAUAUUUUUAAUAGCUGUUAAUUAAGCCACAUCCAUUCCAUUUUUACAUUUUUACAGUAAAUCCAAACCGUUUUUACAGUUUCCCUUACCAUUCAGAUUCUCAUCACAUUACUUAGGCAAUUAAAGUAAUGCCCUACUAGGACUCCUUGUGCCCAGCCUACCACUAAACACUAAAAUUUGUGUUUUUAUUAUACCCCUCUGCUUUAAACAAAUAAAAAAAUAGCAAAUAAAAGCCCCAUGCCUGCAAAAGUCCAUCGCCACCUAAAGAAGUUGUUCUCAAAUACUAGCAUGAGUAAGAAUCACCUGGAGGGCCAUGAAAAAUACAGAUCCCCAGGCCCUGCCCCUGAUGAUCUGAUUUAUUAGAUCUGAGGUAGUGCCCAAGAAACUGCAUUGUCAAAAAGCUCCUCUGUAGCAGGUGGCUCUUGCUGACUUGUAGGAUUAAGUCCAUCUUCCUUGAGUGGGUCUUUAGUGCUAGCUCCAUCUGACUGCAGCCUUUUCUUAACCUUUCUCCACUAUGCAAGCCUUCUGCUUUUUGACAGACAGCAAUCCAUUGUCACCAAGCACACACUAUGCCAGGAGUUUUAAAGCCAUGGCCAAUGAGUUACCUUCUAGGGGACAUAUCAGGAGUUUAAAAACCAGGUAUACAAAUACUUAGACUUAAAAUUUUUUUUCAAAUUUUCUUCCUGUUUUUCAGAAAAUGGUAUUAUGAAAAAAUGUUUUAUGUUAAUAUAUAAAAUUACAUUAUUGUGGUUUGUUUCAGCUCAAAUAUCUUGUACUGCAACUGUUUACGAGCUAAAAAUGGAUUGUUAUCAUGUCAUAUAAUCUAAGAUUUAUUGAUUAGAAUUAAAGCAAAUGUGCUCUGCCAUUAUGAUUAUUAAUAUUUUUGUUUGUUUGUUGAUAUUGGGUCUAACAUACAAUUAGAAAAUGUUGAAGAAAAUAAAAUGUGACUAUAAAUAUAGUAGCUUGGAAAACCUAACACUCCUAAACUCUUCAAAUUAAAUAUAUACACACUCACCACAAAGAUGCACAAACAUACAAACUUAGAUGAUUCCUUCUGAAUGCCUAGGUUACCUCUAUUUUUCUUCCCUUAAGUAAGCACAUCUUUCGAAUCUAAUAAAUGCUUGUGAUUUCAGGCAAAGAAUUAAUAGGAAGGUAUCUCAAUAGAAGAUAAGAAAUCAGGACGUAAUACUCUUUUUAUCUCCCUUUCCCCACCUUUGGAUGGCAUUUGUAAUUUUAGUUUACUUUAACUUCCCAUGCCUGUCUAUGCCACAAUAAUAUUUGAAGACAAUGAAAAAAUACCAGGCUAACUUUAAUGCCCCAAUCUAGCCACUGCUAACCAGCCGUGGAAUUCCUAUUAAGUGACCAUAGGCCAUUUUGAAUGUUAGAUCUAUAUAAAACUGCAAAACUGACUUUUAUAAAGGAACAAUUGGCUCAAGCUUCUGUGUUCUCUUUCCUUACUGUGAUCUGUAGCUAGAUGCCAGGCCCAUGGAUAUAAUGCAAUGGUGACAAAAAAGGGCUGGCUCAGGAUAGCCCAGUCUACCAAUGGUACCAUAGCAGACACUUGAGGCUCAUAGCAAUGGAACUCCUAUUGUACCAAAUUUCCUAUGAGUCAAGUGUACAAAAGUAUAACAUAAGUAUCAUUCUCCCUAAGAUCUAGAAAGGUUUGACUUAGUCUCUAUUCCACACUCUGUGGGAAAGUCCAGUGCUGUUCCCAAGAUUUUUGUGGACUCUCUAGGGACACACCCUUGGGGCAUCUCUGAGUCUGAUUUCUUCUUUCUUGAGUUCUGGUUCUCCAUUCUGUGCUUUGUGACUUUUUCUUUACCUCCUCUCUGGCAUCAAUCUGAGUGUGAAAUCAGCUCUUUGUUUUCUUUUAAAACCCCACUCAAUGUGUAUGGAUAUAAAAGGAAACUCAUUAUCACAACAUUUCAAACAAAGUAAGAGUGAGUAUUAGGCAUCUCUGCUCUUAAAAUUGUUUUGGCCACUCUCUCCUACUUCUUCUACUCUUUCUCUCUUUCUCCUCCAUCCAGUCCUUUCAGUAGAAAAUAAAACAAUUUCCCCCCAACUCAUCCCCCAAACCUUCACCCCUUUCUCUCAAUUGUCAUUCUCUUCAAACACACAUUCUGGCCUACCUUUAGCACGGGACUCAGCAGAAACUCAGAAAUCACC